RNAcentral lists this ribosomal RNA (253 nucleotides) under uncultured bacterium. RNAcentral's name for it is "partial 16S ribosomal RNA". It matches the Rfam family "Bacterial small subunit ribosomal RNA", at positions 524 to 776 of the family's 1533-position model. The record is from RNAcentral.
GACAGAGGGUGCAAACGUUGUUCGGAAUUACUGGGCGUAAAGCGCGUGUAGGCUAUUCGGAAAGUCAGGUGUGAAAGCCCUGGGCUCAACCCAGGAAGUGCACUUGAAACUCCCGAACUGGAGUCCCGGAGAGGAAGGCGGAAUUCUCGGUGUAGAGGUGAAAUUCGUAGAUAUCGAGAGGAACAUCGGUGGCGAAGGCGGCCUUCUGGACGGUGACUGACGCUGAGACGCGAAAGCGUGGGGAGCAAACAGG